RNAcentral lists this long non-coding RNA (853 nucleotides) under Camarhynchus parvulus. RNAcentral's name for it is "lncRNA (ENSCPVG00000012320.2)". Lineage: Eukaryota; Metazoa; Chordata; Aves; Passeriformes; Thraupidae. The record is from RNAcentral.
UGGGGAGUGAGUCCCAUGCUGGCACCUAGAGUAAAUCUGCCUGUAAAGUCCCACCAAAAGCAGACAGGGAGCUGGUCCAGAGCCACUGAGAGAUGCCCUGAAGAGAAUCAGCACCCUUGGUCUUGAAUCGGCACCCUUGGUCCCACCUCUGCAUGCAAGAGGAAAGAUUUCCAGGUCCUGGCUGAAUCCCUUGGACUCCAAGGAACCUCGAGCUUACAGGGGCAAGUUGGGAGGAGGAAAACAUGAGCAUAUUUUUACAGAAAUUGAAGUCUCCCUGCAGCAGAAAAUCCGGGACCUGAGGAGGGGGAACCAGCGGCUCCCUCUCCCCUUCAGCUCUCUGAGCCCUGCACCUGAGGCAUUCUGUGUGUAGGAACCCCGAGCUCCCGGGCACCAGGUGAAACAGAGAGGAGGAAGGGCAGAGGGUGGCACUGGGCAGCCGAGCAUCCUCCUGCGCUGGGAGCCCAGGAACGAGCAGAGGCGCAGAACAGCUCCAGGCGAGGAUUUCAGCUCUGCGGGGAGGGGCUGCGCCGAGCAUCGGGGAUCAAGGGCUGGAAGGGAACCCAAGGUCCAGAAGUCUUCCAGAAAACAGUUUUAAAGUUGUUCAAAGCAAGGUGGAAAAGCUGAAAAGUCAAACUCAGGUAUUUCCAAAGGGAAGCAAGCUACAGGAGAUGUGGAGGCACAGAGAAAGCAGAGCUGUGUGCAGGCAAGCCCCCCUGCCAGGGUCUGGAGAUGAAAGGUCAGGAAUCAGCAGGAACGGGGCUUGUGCUCUAUGAUUUGCAUUUCCCAUUCUCCCUUUGGGUCUAGGAAUAUCCAUAUCAUUAAGGUCUGGGCUGAAAUGGGACUGAACUGGAAC